GACGAACGCUGGCGGCGUGCCUAAUACAUGCAAGUCGAACGAACGGAUAAAGAGCUUGCUCUUUUGAAGUUAGUGGCGGACGGGUGAGUAACACGUGGGUAACCUGCCUCACAGCUGGGGAUAACAUCGAGAAAUCGAUGCUAAUACCGAAUGUGCUGAACAUCAUAAGAUGUUCAAGUGAAAGACGGUUUCGGCUGUCACUGUGAGAUGGACCCGCGCUGGAUUAGCUAGUUGGUAAGGUAAUGGCUUACCAAGGCGACGAUCCAUAGCCGACCUGAGAGGGUGAUCGGCCACAUUGGGACUGAGACACGGCCCAAACUCCUACGGGAGGCAGCAGUAGGGAAUCUUCGGCAAUGGACGAAAGUCUGACCGAGCAACGCCGCGUGAGCGAAGAAGGCCUUCGGGUCGUAAAGCUCUGUUGUUAGAGAAGAACAUGGGUGAGAGUAACUGUUCACCCCUUGACGGUAUCUAACCAGAAAGCCACGGCUAACUACGUGCCAGCCGCCGCCGUAACAC
Molecule: ribosomal RNA, 516 nt
Filed under: uncultured bacterium
Lineage: Bacteria
Description: bacterial SSU rRNA
Rfam family: Bacterial small subunit ribosomal RNA
Source: RNAcentral